GAAUGGGCAGUUUAAAAGUACUGGUAAUGGAUUUGUAUUACAGAGAAGGAUAAAGAGAAAAACAAAAUGAUUCCUAACUCUAUCUCACAGAGAAGUUCUCUUGGUGUUUUAAGUACUACUAACAAUAAAAAUAAUACAUGAGCAAGGACAGCAACCCCGUGUGGUCAUAAGGGGAUACUAUGAAAGUAAGAUUCCUCUCCUUCAAAAUGCUGUCUCACAUGUCAUAGGUUUUCAGUUAUUCUCCUGAAUUAAGUUAAUUGCAUAUGGAAACUAUAAAAAAAAAUUAUCAAAGUUAUCAAGUUAGAAUAGUAUCUUGCCCUUGCUUAAUAAAUAACAAUGUCUUCCAUAUCACCUUCUAUAGACCUCCUCCUUUCUCUUUAAUGACUACAUGGUAUUCCAUUGUGCUGACAAAGGUUCAGGAAACUAUGGCCUGCAAGCCAAAUCUGACCCCUGCUUGGUUUUGUAUUGUUCAUGAACUAAAAAUGUUUUUGUUUAUUGGGGUAUUUUUUUUUGCAUUUUCAAAUAAUUAAAGUAAAAAGAGUACCAUUUCUAUGACAUAGGAAAAUUACACGAAAUUCAAAUUCCAGCAUCUGUAAAUAAGUUUCACUGGAACAUAGCCAGGCUCAUUCAUCUUAUGUACUGUCUGUGGCUGCUUUUGCACUAUAGCAGAGUUAAACAGUUGUGACAGACACUGUAGAGCCUGCAAAGCCUAAAAUAUUUACUCUCUGGUCCUUUACAGGAAAAGUUUGCUGAUCUCUGGUAUAGACUAUUUACUUCAUUUAACUCAACAUUUUGGACUCAGAGAAUUUCUAAUUCUAUGAGUGAAGAGAGUAAAAGUGGCAGCAUGAGCAGAGAUAAAAAAGACACAAAUAUGGCAAAUCAUCAACUAGAUGCUCAAUGAGUGAUCUGGUUAGGAGAGAAAUGAGAAACAGAGCAAGAAGGAGAUAGGUUGUGGCCGUGUCAUGCCAUCAUUAGAAUGCCAGGUAGAGGAAAUCUGCCAUUCAUCUGGCAGUAAGUCAAGAACUACUGACGACUUUGAGCAGGAGUGGGGAAUAGCAUAAACAGGAUCUAUUUUAGGAGAUUAAUCUGGCCAUUCAAUAUGGAAUUAAUGUAGAAGGUAUUGCCAACAGGUAAGGAAAUCAUUUUAGGAUUAUUUCAGAAAUCCAUAAAAAGGGUCACGAAUUCAUGUGAAGAUGUAAAAGUACCCUUGAAAAUAAUUUCCACAGUUCUGAAAAUCAAGGAAAGGUGUCUGUGUUUCUGUAUGUGAAGCUGUUUAAAAAACACUGAGAAUUAUUUCUUUCUAUUAGAAAAAAUAUUAAAGUAUAUCUCACCACUGAAGUUUUGGUCCACUCUCUUUCAGUAUACCCAGCUAUAAUUUUUUAAUGUGUUUUCCAUGCAGCAAACAACCCAAGAAACUAAUUGAGUCAUACACUAGUUGCUGAAUUAAGCUGGAGUAUGGUAUCUGAUUAUUUCUUAAUGUAUUACUUAUAAUCUUAAGGCUCAAAAAUAUGGCAAUGUAAGACAUACAAGAUUGUCUGUUAUUUCAAAGGCAAAUGUGAAGUACUCAUUAUAAUCUGGUUAAAAAUCCUAAAUAGCAAGAAUGCUGGUCUUCUAGACGGAGUAAUUCUAAUUAACCUUAUAAAAAUAAGAUUUGUACAGUAUGUGGAAAAUUAAGGAUAUAAACAACCAUUAAAAGAAAAGCCUAAUUACAUUAUAAUAAUUAUGUUCAACGGACACAAUAGGCAAUAGUCACAUAGCAGUACCAUAUUUUAAAUGCCAUCAUAAAUAAUAUAAAAUGUUAAUGUUAUAUUGUGCUAUUAUUCAAAAUAAUAUUUUAAAUUACCUUUAAACAUCGAAAUAAGUUGCUCUAUUAACAAAGGGAUCUGAAUGUGUACUCUGUAGCUACAGAGUAGGCUGGACAUCAAGCUAAAUUAUACUAGGAAAUGAACAAAUAAAAUAAAAAGUUAGUAUUUAUAGCAGGAUUUUAUAUGUAUCACUGUGUUUAGGGUUGGAGCAAUAAUAAGAAGAGGAAAAAUAAUAUUUGGUUCAGUUUUGCUUAGAAGGGUUUUAUUUUUCUAAAUAAAAUAAUUUGCCAUUCAUAAUUGGCUGUUCUAGUGAUAAAAGUAAGCAUAGUGGUUUAGAAUAUAAACUCCAGAGACAAGAAAAAUUGAAUUCCAAAUUGUGUGAUUUGGACAAGUUCCUUAACUACAUCAAUCCUCAGAUCCCUCAUCUACUAUGAUGAUAAUAUCUACCCUGAAUUUAAAGGGUUGUUGGUAGGUUUAUAUGUGUUAUGUGUACUUGCCAUUGUAAGAACACUAAGUAUUAAAUAAGUGACAAUUGUUAUUUUUAAUGUAAUUAUUACUUCCCAUCUUAAGUUUUAUCCUUUGAUGAUUGCAUCUUAGGGUAUAAGAAGAUGGAAGAGAAAACUGAAAAUCAAGAGUAACAAGAUAAUAAUUACUUCCCUCCCUCUCCCCACCAACCUACUCAAGCACUGGCUUAGGAGAAAUGUUAACAUUAAGUCCUUUAUUACUGUGGUUCAUGGCCUUUGAUGGGUAUUUAAAAAGCAUGUUAUAGAAGCUGUUCUCAGUGGGUCCUCAGUGGGUCCCUAUCUAAGGGGCGACUCUAAACUCACCAGAAUCACUAAAUUUGUAAUGUCUCAUCUUCAUCCUUACUAGAAGCCCUUGCAAAUGUGACACUAUCAGAAACAUCUGAUUUACAUAUUUCUCUGAGGCAACCUUCCCAAUGUGCUGCUAUAUUUAGUGGUCUAUUUACAAGCUUAAGGAGCCAUGUUUCCUAAAACAUAGUAUCUCCAUAAAUAGAUGGAGAAGUACUUGUGUACAAAUUUUGACAACUAGCCCUACCUUGCAUAUUCUGCUUUACAGUAUUUAUUUACUUAUUUACAGAAUUAAUUGCUUUAUAUAAAUGGUGUUUCCUAAAAAAAAAAAAAAAAAAAAAACACCUUCUUUAUUUAGCACAUACUAUUAUACUAGUCCCUACCUCAAAGAUGGUAUUUUUCUUUUAUGUUAUUAUAUUGUAGUAAUUAUCCUCAUAUAUAUAUUUUUUAAUUUCAGAUGAACUGUGUGGUCAGUAGAAAAAUUUCUUGGUUGUAUAAAAGAUAUACAGGGAAAUGGAUACAUGACCAGUUAAAAUGAAGACCUCAGUGAAAAUAGUUGUUUAGUCAGAACCACUCCAACUCUUGAGUGCUGAUUUGCUUUGCCCUAAAUAGUGUAUGCUUUGCUGAUUGGUACGAAAGAGUAACUCACUUGACUAAGAACAAAUCUAGCCAGCUAUCUAUCCUCCAUAUCUUGACGUGGUCUUGUUUCUCUGUUCUGGCAUCCAGUAUGGCAGAAACUGUUAUGAAUUGAUAAAUAUAAGGAGAAGCAGCAUCAGCUGACCACAUUGCUACAGAGAGAUUUUCUUAAGAACUGAAAAGUCAUAGAGGAGAAGGAUGAGAAUAAGGAAAAGGUCUUGAAAGCAGAUGAAACUGAUCUAUAAUGCAAGAAAAUUCCUUCAAGAAGAUUCAUAUCCAAGAACGAGAAGUAGGGUAACCUCUACACCCAGCCUGGGGCUUGAACUCACAACCCUAAGAUCAAGAGUCACAUGCUCUUUUGAGUGAGCCUGACAAGAAAACUGAUGAGCACAUUUCAAAAUGGGAGUUAAAGCUUUGUAUUUCAGUGUCUUUUAACGAGGACAGCAAUAUAGCCAAGUGCAGCUGCUUUCUGCCAAAAUGCAAUCUGACAUUUGGAAGAGUUUUGUAUGGAGAAGCCAGGAGUCUAAGAAAUCAGUUGAGCUUCAUCGUGAAAAUGACACUGGAUUUAAAUCAGAAACCCUGGUUGGAAGCUUUGUUGGUCACUGGUUGCUUGUCUGGGUUUAUCUUGGGCACGACUCCCUUCCUAAGGCCCCUUCCAGCUUGCUACAUUAUUACUACAUUCCAUGCCAACCACAGUUGCCUAAUAUUAACUGAUUGUGCCACUUUUGAAUUACUGCCUGGGAAGCAGGACCUACUGAUUUUAUUUCUUUUAUUACCCAUGACCCCACAGAAAGGCAGAUUGGCUAGGAAAAAUAAAUAAAUAAUGUGGGCUAGUAAA
Canis lupus familiaris (dog) is the source of this 4088-nucleotide long non-coding RNA. RefSeq lists it as uncharacterized. NCBI's taxonomy places the organism in Eukaryota, Metazoa, Chordata, Mammalia, Carnivora, Canidae. The record is from RefSeq and is a predicted model, not a curated record. The transcript is spliced from 5 exons.